AUUGAACGCUGGCGGCAUGCCUUACACAUGCAAGUCGAACGGCAGCACGGGUGCUUGCACCUGGUGGCGAGUGGCGAACGGGUGAGUAAUACAUCGGAACAUGUCCUGUAGCGGGGGAUAGCCCGGCGAAAGCCGGAUUAAUACCGCAUACGAUCUACGGAUGAAAGCGGGGGACCUUCGGGCCUCGCGCUAUGGGGUUGGCCGAUGGCGGAUUAGCUAGUUGGUGGGGUAAAGGCCUACCAAGGCGACGACCAGUAGCUGGUCUGAGAGGACGACCAGCCACACUGGGACUGAGACACGGCCCAGACUCCUACGGGAGGCAGCAGUGGGGAAGGUUGGACAAUGGGCGAAAGCCUGAUCCAGCAAUGCCGCGUGUGUGAGGAAGGCCUUCGGGUUGUAAAGCACUUUUGUCCGGAAAGAAAUCCUUGGCCCUAAUACGGUCGGGGGAUGACGGUACCGGAAGAAUAAGCACCGGCUAACUACGUG
Molecule: ribosomal RNA, 486 nt
Filed under: uncultured bacterium
Lineage: Bacteria
Description: partial 16S ribosomal RNA
Rfam family: Bacterial small subunit ribosomal RNA
Source: RNAcentral